This 77-nucleotide transfer RNA is filed under the name Corylus cornuta. RNAcentral describes it as "tRNA-Ala". RNAcentral also lists the same sequence under 16 other names. The record is from RNAcentral. Lineage: Eukaryota; Viridiplantae; Streptophyta; Magnoliopsida; Fagales; Betulaceae.
GGGCGAGGUCUCUGGUUCAAGUCCAGGAUGGCCCAACCCUGUGGCGGAUGUCAGCGGUUCGAGUCCGCUUAUCUCCA